UACAACUUUCAGCAACGGAUCUCUUGGCUCUCGCAUCGAUGAAGAACGCAGCGAAAUGCGAUAAGUAGUGUGAAUUGCAGAAUUCAGUGAAUCAUCGAAUCUUUGAACGCACCUUGCGCUCCUUGGUAUUCCGAGGAGCAUGCCUGUUUGAGUGUCAUUAAAUUCUCAA
RNAcentral lists this ribosomal RNA (169 nucleotides) under Conocybe velutipes. Its description in RNAcentral is "5.8S ribosomal RNA". It matches the Rfam family "5.8S ribosomal RNA". Rfam says of the family: 5.8S ribosomal RNA (5.8S rRNA) is a component of the large subunit of the eukaryotic ribosome. It is transcribed by RNA polymerase I as part of the 45S precursor that also contains 18S and 28S rRNA. Lineage: Eukaryota; Fungi; Basidiomycota; Agaricomycetes; Agaricales; Bolbitiaceae. The record is from RNAcentral.